UUUGUUGAAAAAAUUCUUUUAACGUCGGAUAGUGAAUAUUGGUGAAUUGAUGGGUAGACAAAGAUCCCAUAAUAGAAAAACAAGCGAAUGCGUCGAACUUUUCUGAUGAAAAGGUUAGAGCACUGUCUUUGCAAAUGAACAUAACAUUCUGCAAUGGUCAUACUACAUGCUGAUCUAAUAGAGUAAUAAAUCUACUGAAAUGUUCCAGCUUAACUGGAAGCGCAGAACAACUCCCAUAUUUUCCAGGAGAUGGUUCAUCAGCAAACUACAACAAGGCCAAACUUCUCAAGUUUAUCCCCAAAACGUGACCAACUCUACAAACACCGAGAGACCUCCAGAUUUUCCACAAAACGAGAGUUGAGCAAACUACUGCCAUCAGCUUCAGAAAUCACUAGAGCAAGUACAUUUGUUAGUUCUAGGCAACCUGAAAAAUAAAAUAAGAAAAGUUAGUGAACAGCAACGAGAUGGAUUUCUCAACAAGAGGUGAUAUAGAAAAAACAAGACGACCUGUGUAAACAGCAGUCAGUACCACCAUAGUAUUUGGAAUAUGCGCAACAUAUUUAUUUCUAGUAUAUCUUGAUUGAAGAAGAAAAUUACGUGGUGAUCAAUUCUUAACAGAAUAACGUUUGAAUUUCAGGCUGACCAGUGACAAUAUUUCAGGAAAACGAAUACUAUAGUCAUAAUGAUGACACUGCAAAGUGUAUGUCAGGCUCUUGUACACUAUAUAAGGUCUUGCCUAAUUUGUAGUUUUUGUACUGCUAGUUCAGAAAUUCUAAUACACUUGGAUGAAAGGUCCAGCUAAAAUAAACAUUGAUCAAUAAUUUUCAGCAGCACCAUCAAUACAGGUUGUUGAUAUAAGGCACUGUUGUGAAAUGAAUAUUUUUUAACAGGUCAAAGAAUAUGGCAUUGUCACUGAAAUCUAAUUCUGUAACUUAGUUCAGUAUUUUUUUACAUUUUUUUAUCCAAGUCAAACUGCAUGGGUUGAAUGAGAGAUAUAUGUUUUUUUUUCCGAAACGGAGGCCAAAGAUUGACCUCAUCAAUUAAUUAAGAGGAGAAUAGAGUUUGAUUGUUUACAACUCACGAUAACACGCCACCUGGCAACUACUCACGAAUGUAUGUUAGAAGAAUACAACAUCCCAAGAAUGCGAAUGUAUGUAAUAUGAAUGGGUCAAUAAAGAAGCUUUAGCCAUACAUAUUACAUACAUUGGCUGGUAACUUAGUAGUUAGUACCUUCAUUUCUUGCAUCUGUCUACACGAACCAGAGUAUCCGCUAUAGUUUUCCGCUUGCCUGGAAAAAAAGUUCAUUGGUCAAGGUACUAGAAUUUGAAUGAUACAUACCACAAUAGGAC
This 1349-nucleotide long non-coding RNA is filed under the name Triticum aestivum (bread wheat). RNAcentral's name for it is "long non-coding RNA (TAES_LNC020976)". Lineage: Eukaryota; Viridiplantae; Streptophyta; Magnoliopsida; Poales; Poaceae. The record is from RNAcentral.